UGGUUUUAAGGGGAGGAAAGAACAUGAGGUUGGGAGGGUAAGAAAUGGGGGAAGACCUGGGAAAGCUAGGGGAUGGGAAAAAUUCUGGUAAAAAUGUACUGUGUGAAAUUCUCCAAGAAAAAAAAAAUAGAGAGACCUAUUAACUUAUUAAAGGUGUCUGUGAUCAACAAGGCAGAGACUUUUUAAAAAAAGUAAUUUCCUACUUUCCAAGGAGAUUCAUGGGGACAGCAGCCAUGGGAGCAGGUGCUGGGGGCAUCCCAGGCUAUGCACACGGGUGCCUCUUUUCCCUCUUGCAUACAUGUGUAACAGGACCUGGGGAGCCUAGAGGCUGCCAGGACAAGCCCCGUCAAGCUUCAGGAGCCCUUCCCGGACGCUGCUGGCACAGGGGAACCCACCAGUCUCCUCCCUAACACACAAGCAGCUUAUCUCAGGUCUUGUUUUGGCUUAGAAGUCUUUUAAUCUCUCACGAUGGUUGGAAUGGAUCAGCCUCUAUUUUUACUCCUGGAUGGAGAAGACAUGAAUCAGACUGGGCCAACUCUGUUGGACUUGUAGAGGCCUGCCGCGGAGCACACAUUCCUUUUAGCUUUAGGCAUAUUAAGGACAGAGGGGGAGAGAGCAAAUGAAAACACAGACAGGAGAGAGCCUGCUACAGAUGACAGGGAACUGGCGCACAGUAGGCAUUCAGCAAAUGUCUGCGGAAAUGAACACCCAGCAAUCCAACAGUGUCACGUGGCUUUCUCCCUGGCUCCACUGUGCAGCGCAGUUGCUGGGAAUAUGGCAGCAAGCAGGUUGUUUUCUGGAUACCUGUGAUUUUCCCAAAGCAAGUACCUGGGGGAGGGGGUUGGUUACAGACAAGGGAACUUUCUAGGCACCAUGUAGGCUUGGAAACCUUCACUUUCCUGUCCUUACAGGUGGCUUGCCACAUCUACCUGCCAUGUGCUGGCCAAGGGGACGUCUUCAGGCAUGAGGACGCUCUGUGGUAUCCAUGGGCCCCUCCUUUGUUGUCCUGGUACUUAGGGAAGCUCAGCUUCUGCUGAGGGCUGGCCAUGUCUGAGCUAACGAUGAAGACCAAGAAGCCCCGAGACCUGAAGAUGCAGAGCAGAGGCCUAAGAAGGACCGAAGGCUGGAGAAGACCAAUGUCUCUGCUCAAGGAGCCCAAAAGGAAAGGAUUUUGUAUUUUCCUCCCAGAGUCACCUUGGCCAUUGGCGAGUCACAUCUUUGGGUGCCUUGUGAAGAAUUUUCCACAAAGAACUAACCCACCAUGGAUGUGGGCAGCAGCAUCCCAAGGGCUGGGGACAUGGAACUGGACUUCAGAAACCCGGCCAGAAGAGACUAAUGCACCUACUUCCAUGGCCUCCGAUGGCGAGACCUGCUUGCUGGCACCCAUUUGUCUCCUGCCAGCAUCUGACUGAUUCUACUCCAGAUCCAGAAUCCCUCCUAGCAUCUGGGAUACAGAGGUCUGACAGCAGGAAAGAUGGUGGAGAGACUUGCCGCACUAUGCCAGCUUUGUACUACAGGAGUGAACCGUCCUUCGUGGCACUGACUCUCUAUGGCUCUGCCAAAAGAUGGCUAUAAAACCAACCGAUUCUUUGUUUCCCAGAUGCUAGGGUUCUUACCUGUCUCCCCCACAGAAAUUUACUUUCUCAAAUGAAACCUGACACCAGCAAUCUCUUUUCAAACCUUCCCCACCCAAGCUCACCUCACCCACUAAUAUUCUUUGGUUAUAGUGUCUGAGCGAGAAUAGAGGUAUGUACGGAAAAGUGAACCGUGCUCACCAACACAAGAGAACCUGGCGUGAGCGGAGAUAAACCCCCACCCCCCAGGUUGUUUAUGGUCGUGGUGAUCUGUCACAGCAGUGGAAACCCUGGCCAAGAGAAAAAUUAACUCGGAUUCAGGAACACAAACAUUCCAUGGCCUCUUUUAUCAUGGGUUCUGGCUUAUGGAUGUGUAUAUAUAUGGGGGUGAGUUGGAGUACAGUUAAUGAAAUCAGGGAAGAGACUGUGAGAAGGGGGAACGCUGCUGAGGAAGGCAUGGAGGUUAAUAGGGGCUGCGUGCCAUCCAAGUAGAAAAGCAACUACCAGGACGGAAGGGUAAAGGAAGGCCAGGAGUGUGCAAGGAGAGAAAAACUCAGGAUAUUUGAAAAGGUCACAGUAAACUUAACACUUUGCUAAUUUUAGAAGUAAAAAAACCAUACAUGAGUGGUGAUAGUCUUAAAAAAAAAACAGGUUUGAUCUGAGGAAAGAGAAUCAAAGGCUCUAUACAUAGAGAGUUGAAAUCUUUACUGGAAAAGAAACCACAGAUAAGAGUGGCAGCGUGACAGGCUUUUCCUGCCAGGAUAGCUCUCAGGAAGAAGGAAAGACAGACAGCAAUAAACAUUCGUGAUGAAGCUGCCUUGAAAUACGGUUUGAAAAUUCCCCCAAGGAGCUGGUCUUGGAGCAGUCAUCUGACUCAGUGGUUCCACUCCAUGAGCACCGAGGACACGUGUCUACACAGACAUCUGUACACCAGUGUUCCUGGCAGCACUGCCCAUAAUAACCAAAGGAUGAGAAGGCCGGCAUUGGCAGAUGAAGAAUGGAAAGUCAGAACAGGACACAUUGUCUGCCAUCAAAGAAUGAACUGAACCCAUGCUCAGCUUGGAUGGGAACUGGAGUCUGUGUAUUUAGUGAAAAGUACUAACCACCAAA
Molecule: long non-coding RNA, 2684 nt
Organism: Rattus norvegicus (Norway rat)
Lineage: Eukaryota; Metazoa; Chordata; Mammalia; Rodentia; Muridae
Source: RefSeq, a predicted model, not a curated record